AACCCUUGUCCUUAGUUACCAGCACGUUAUGGUGGGCACUCUAAGGAGACUGCCGGUGACAAACCGGAGGAAGGUGGGAUGACGUCAAGUCAUCAUGGCCCUUACGGCCUGGGCUACACACGUGCUACAAUGGUCGGUACAAAGGGUUGCCAAGCCGCGAGGUGGAGCUAAUCCCAUAAAACCGAUCGUAGUCCGGAUCGCAGUCUGCAGCUCGACUGCGUGAAGUCGGAAUCGCUAGUAAUCGUGAAUCAGAAUGUCACGGUGAAUACGUUCCCGGGCCUU
RNAcentral lists this ribosomal RNA (282 nucleotides) under uncultured Pseudomonas sp. Its description in RNAcentral is "partial 16S ribosomal RNA". It matches the Rfam family "Bacterial small subunit ribosomal RNA", at positions 1100 to 1382 of the family's 1533-position model. The record is from RNAcentral. Lineage: Bacteria; Pseudomonadati; Pseudomonadota; Gammaproteobacteria; Pseudomonadales; Pseudomonadaceae.